RNAcentral lists this transfer RNA (106 nucleotides) under Bacillus thuringiensis Sbt003. Its description in RNAcentral is "tRNA-OTHER". The stretch from base 7 to 98 matches the Rfam family "tRNA", at positions 8 to 63 of the family's 71-position model. Rfam says of the family: Transfer RNA (tRNA) molecules are approximately 80 nucleotides in length. Their secondary structure includes four short double-helical elements and three loops (D, anti-codon, and T loops). The record is from RNAcentral. Lineage: Bacteria; Bacillati; Bacillota; Bacilli; Caryophanales; Bacillaceae.
GCCCGUUGGUCAAGUGGUUAAGACACCGCCCUUUCACGGCGGUAACACGGGUUAAAAACAAGAGCCUUCCAAGCUCUGGUCGAGAGUUCGAUUCUCUUCACCCGCU